AGAGUUUGAUCCUGGCUCAGGAUGAACGCUAGCGGCAGGCUUAACACAUGCAAGUCGAGGGGCAGCGCGGUAGUAGCAAUACUACUGGCGGCGACCGGCAGAAGGGUGCGUAACACGUGAGCAACCUGCCCGUGACAGGGGGAUAACCGGCGGAAACGGCGACUAAUACCCCGUAACAACAAAGGAGGCAUCUCGUUUGUUUGAAAGAUACGUCAGUCACGGAUGGGCUCGCGGUACAUUAGCUGGUUGGCGGGGUAACGGCCCACCAAGGCGACGAUGUAUAGGGGUUCUGAGAGGAAGGUCCCCCGCACUGGAACUGAGACACGGUCCAGACUCCUACGGGAGGCAGCAGUGAGGAAUAUUGGACAAUGGAGGCAACUCUGAUCCAGCCAUGCCGCGUGAAGGAAUAAGGCCCUAUGGGUCGUAAACUUCUUUUGACGCAGAGCAAUAAGGACUACGCGUAGUCUGAUGAGAGUAUGCGUCGAAUAAGCAUCGGCUAACUCCGUGCCAGCAGCCGCGGUAAUACGGAGGAUGCAAGCGUUAUCCGGAUUUAUUGGGUUUAAAGGGUGCGUAGGCUGAAGAUCAAGUCAGCGGUGAAAUGUCCCGGCUCAACCGGGGCCUUGCCGUUGAAACUGGUCAUCUGGAAUGCGGAUGCCGUGGGAGGAAUGUGUGGUGUAGCGGUGAAAUGCAUAGAUAUCACACAGAACACCGAUUGCGAAGGCAUCUCACGAAUCCGCUAUUGACGCUGAGGCACGAAAGCGUGGGGAUCAAACAGGAUUAGAUACCCUGGUAGUCCACGCAGUAAACGAUGAUGACUAACUGCCGGCGAUAUAUAGUCGGUGGCCAAGCGAAAGCGAUAAGUCAUCCACCUGGGGAGUACGACCGCAAGGUUGAAACUCAAAGGAAUUGACGGGGGCCCGCACAAGCGGAGGAACAUGUGGUUUAAUUCGAUGAUACGCGAGGAACCUUACCCGGGCUCGAACGGCAGGUGAACGACACAGAGAUGUGAAGGUCCCUUGGGACGCCUGUCGAGGUGCUGCAUGGUUGUCGUCAGCUCGUGCCGUGAGGUGUCGGCUUAAGUGCCAUAACGAGCGCAACCCUUGCCGUCAGUUACCAUCAGAUAAAGCUGGGGACUCUGGCGGGACUGCCACCGCAAGGUGUGAGGAAGGGGGGGAUGACGUCAAAUCAGCACGGCCCUUACGUCCGGGGCGACACACGUGUUACAAUGGUGGGUACAGAGGGGUGCUACCUGGUGACAGGAUGCUGAACUCGAAAGCCCAUCUCAGUUCGGAUCGGAGUCUGCAACCCGACUCCGUGAAGCUGGAUUCGCUAGUAAUCGCGCAUCAGCCAUGGCGCGGUGAAUACGUUCCCGGGCCUUGUACACACCGCCCGUCAAGCCAUGAAAGUCUGGGGCGCCUGAAGUUCGUGACCGGAAGGAGCGACCUAGGGCGAAACAGAUAAUUGGGGCUAAGUCGUAACAAGGUAACC
RNAcentral lists this ribosomal RNA (1488 nucleotides) under uncultured bacterium. RNAcentral's name for it is "bacterial SSU rRNA". It matches the Rfam family "Bacterial small subunit ribosomal RNA". The record is from RNAcentral.